CUUUCAAGAAGGUAAUAAAAUAUAUUAACUCUCUUGAGUAAGUGGUUGGGAGGGAUUUAUAAGCAUUUGAGGAUCCGGUGAUCCACUGGAAGCACAGUUUACUCAAUUUUGAAUUUUUCUGAUCAACUUUCAACCCUGAGAAAACGAGAGCCAUUUGCCUAACUUAAUCUGGAACGUAUGUUUGCACCAGUAGCAGGUUUUUUGGUUUGUGGUUGGGGCUGAUCAAGUUGUAAAUUUUCCGCUUUAGGUUUUCAGCGCCUGCUAGUUUCAGCCUAACACCUAGAGAGAGGCUUUGCGGGGCUCUCCACCAAAGCAGCCAUGGUUUGACAAAAGGUUUCCAAACCACCCAGCUCUGAGUGUUACCGAUUUUCCUGAAGAUGGGACAUUUCUAUACAAAUUAGUUCUCUGAAUCCAAAAGACAAGUAACAAGUUACAUUCUCUUUUGUCAAAAUGUUUGUAAAAUACCUACAUGGAGGGUCCCCCCCAUUUGCCUUCCUCACCUGCAACCUUUUUCUUUGAGGGACACACACUUUGAGAGCAGUGAGUGCUGUGGAAGUGACAUCUUCAUUCGACAAAACAAUAUACAGGUCCUUUUGGCUCAUCUUAAUUUUUUUCCCAUCAGAAACAGAACUGUUGGUAUUCUGUCUCUUUGUGCUUCCACACAAAGGAUUUUUUUAUAAGUGUUCUGAAUAUCUGAGAAGAAUCACCUCGUGAUUAAAAUAAAUAUACAUUUAGAAUCCACAAAUCACCCUUCACAAGCUUUAUGGUAGCUUUUAUGACUAAUACUGAAACACAUUCCUUUAUGGACCUGAAAUUUAGUAUUUAGUCUUUAAACAAAUGAUAAUACUUUAAAAUCAAUGCAUGGUAUACCAUAAUGAUAAAUCAAAGCAGUAAGUUUCCUAAGACUAGCUUGACUCAUCUUGAAAUGGAAAUAGGUAUUAGUGGUGGGAGCGGGAGGUUAACUCUUGGUGGUAAACCUCAAGGGCUAUAACUAAGUGUCUGGACCUGCUGAUUUAUCUUCUUCCUGAAAACCUCAAUCAGAUUACUGGAGGAAAAGUUACCCAAGUGCUUUUUGAAACGCAUCAGAACUGGUAAUUGAGCCAUAAAUGUGCCCUACAUUCAGGUGCAGAGUUGCACUAAAUUUUAUUAUUAUACAGGUGAAGGUGGGCAGCUCCCAUCUGGGCGCUACCUUAAUCAAACAGUGAACAAGGGUGAAGAAACAAGGGCAGUAAGAGCAUUACCAGCACUGUGCGAAUCAAAUGCCCACAACUAGUUGAGAACAACGGUGCUAAAAAGCUGCUUUAAUUCUGAAACGCAAAGUCCUGAGACACCGAGCGCCAUCUAGCAAGCAAAGUUAGAAUCAAAGUCAAGCACAGAGCACAGAGCAGCUAGGGAAUUGGGAGGUAAAGGGGGGCUUGAGAGGCACUCGCUGCGACUUAACCACUGGCCCUGUCUCACCUGAACCCAGCGUUGCUCGCGGGGUUUCUGCUCUUCGCCCCACCAGCCAGCUCAAACAGACUUAACUCCUGAGAUGGGGACAAAGAUCAGUGCCUGAAAGGCUCACCUUGGGCUGACACGACUCCCAGGGCUUCGGCGCAGAGGAAAGCACAUCGCUGGGAAAUCCUAGCAGGAUUUGAGAAGUCAUUCUGAGUUUACAAGGCUGCCUAGACGUCUCCUGACAGGCGAUUCGAGCCAUCUCUGAGUGGCAUGAGACACAGAUUUCCUUAACAAGGCUCGGCUGGUCAUGGAAACUGGAUGCUGCCUUCAAAAUAUAAAUAAUAUAACUUUAUUCUUCUCCAGGCAACCAGGUCUUUGAUAUCGCCUUUGGCUGAAGCAAAGUCCAAAGGUGGCCAGCAUGCUGCCAAAUAGCCCUGUUAGAUUGUAGCUUGAGGGAGGGAAACAGCACUUUCUCCAUCUUUAAGGGUUUGAAUGAUGUUACCUAAUUAUAUGAAUAUUCUGUGGAACUGAGCUAACAAAACACAGCUUCUGAGAUUUGUGAUGUGAAGAAAAUCAAGAAAAAACCACUGGUUUCUGGAUAGGCAAAAAUGCCAUAUUUUUCCUUUAAACUAAGUCGGUCUGAAUUCAGAAGACUAAGGGGUUCAUCUCAUGUCUGCUUUCUAAAGUACUUCUGUUGGUUCUUCCCGGAAUUUCAUUUACAGUUUGGUGGUGGGGGAAAUCCAUGUAGAUACAUGUUAGCCUUAAACUACUCCUAAUUUCCUGCUACUGAAUAUUGUCUUUAUAAUAACUCAUUGAUUCAGAGAAUACAGAAGGCAGAGCUUGGGUUUUCUAUUGUUCUGUCCCCUGCCCCCACCCCACACAUACAAAUUUUCCCAGUGAAGUGUUUUGUAAAAAAAAAAAACCUAACCAACCAACCAAACAAAAACCUUAGGAAAUGAAUAUUAAAAUAUUCCAAAUGAGUUUUAAAUGCUACCCCAAUCUGAGGUUUGCUUCUCAGUGAAAAAAGGCAUGGCAUAAUAGAUAUGAAAUAGCAAUUCUCUAUUUUCUGCUAAUCUAUUUACUGUGCAAAACAACCACAUUGAGAAUCAAGGAACUGCUAGAUAAGAAUAUACUCAAAAUGUUCAUUAAAACAUCUCCACAGGUUAUAGUAUUUACAGGGGAAAAAAAAUCCCCUAAAAUCAUAACCCACUUAACAAACCCAAGCCAGUAAGGAGCUUAAGCGACAGUUUACAAAACAUCUAAAACGUUUCUAUGAAACCUCCUUGUCUUCUUAUGCCUCAAAACACAUGUAAAGAUCUGAAGAUGGAAAAUGUAGGUACAAUUCACACUGCCUCCUCUUCCCCUUUUCCUCUCUGAAGUUCAGAGAAGUUCCCAGGUCAGUCUUGCCUCAGAUCACAAUAAAAAUUUAACUUUUUUUUUGUUAUUGGUGUCUAGUUAAAUAGCACAUUUCUCCCAUCAAGGUCUUCUUAAACACGGAAGCUUC
Molecule: long non-coding RNA, 2941 nt
Organism: Bos taurus (domestic cattle)
Lineage: Eukaryota; Metazoa; Chordata; Mammalia; Artiodactyla; Bovidae
Source: Ensembl